RNAcentral lists this ribosomal RNA (414 nucleotides) under uncultured microorganism. RNAcentral describes it as "bacterial SSU rRNA". It matches the Rfam family "Archaeal small subunit ribosomal RNA", at positions 459 to 872 of the family's 1478-position model. The record is from RNAcentral.
CAGCCGCCGCGGUAAUACCGGCGGCCCGAGUGGCGGUCACUAUUAUUGGGCUUAAAGCGUCCGUAGCCGGGUUGGGAAGUCCUCCGGGAAAUCUGGCCGCUUAACGGUCAGAAUGCCGGAGGAUACUCCCAGCCUAGGGAGCGGGAGAGGCCGAGGGUAUUCCCGGAGUAGGGGUGAAAUCCUAUAAUCCCGGGAGGACCACCUGUGGCGAAGGCGCUCGGCUGGAACGCGUCCGACGGUGAGGGACGAAGGCCAGGGGAGCAAACCGGAUUAGAUACCCGGGUAGUCCUGGCUGUAAACGAUGCGGACUUUGUGUCGGACAAGCUAUGAGCUUGUCCGGUGCCGGAGGGAAACCGUUAAGUCCGCCGCCUGGGGAGUACGGCCGCAAGGUUGAAACUUAAAGGAAUUGGCGGG